CCUACGGGAGACAGCAGUGAGGAAUAUUGGUCAAUGGACGAGAGUCUGAACCAGCCAAGUAGCGUGAAGGAUGACUGCCCUAUGGGUUGUAAACUUCUUUUAUAUGGGAAUAAAAUGUUCCACGUGUGGGUUUUUGUAUGUACCAUAUGAAUAAGGAUCGGCUCACUCCGUGCCAGCAGCCGCGGUAAUACGGAGGAUCCGAGCGUUAUCCGGAUUUAUUGGGUUUAAAGGGAGCGUAGGUGGAUUGUUAAGUCAGUUGUGAAAGUUUGCGGCUCAACCGUAAAAUUGCAGUUGAAACUGGCAGUCUUGAGUACAGUAGAGGUGGGCGGAAUUCGUGGUGUAGCGGUGAAAUGCUUAGAUAUCACGAAGAACUCCGAUUGCGAAGGCAGCUCACUGGACUGCCACUGACACUGAGGCUCGAAAGUGUGGGUAUCAAACAGGAUUAGAUACCCUUGUAGUC
RNAcentral lists this ribosomal RNA (460 nucleotides) under uncultured bacterium. RNAcentral describes it as "partial 16S ribosomal RNA". It matches the Rfam family "Bacterial small subunit ribosomal RNA", at positions 338 to 795 of the family's 1533-position model. The record is from RNAcentral.